GACGCUGGCGGCGUGCCUAACACAUGCAAGUCGAACGGGGUUGUUCCUUCGGGGACAACUUAGUGGCGAACGGGUGAGUAACGCGUGAGGAACCUGCCUUUCAGUGGGGGACAACAGUUGGAAACGACUGCUAAUACCGCAUAAUGUUGUCGGAUGGCAUCAUCUGGCAACCAAAGCUUUAUGUGCUGAAAGAUGGCCUCGCGUCUGAUUAGAUAGUUGGUGAGGUAACGGCUCACCAAGUCGACGAUCAGUAGCCGGACUGAGAGGUUGACCGGCCACAUUGGGACUGAGAUACGGCCCAGACUCCUACGGGAGGCAGCAGUGGGGAAUAUUGGGCAAUGGGCGAAAGCCUGACCCAGCAACGCCGCGUGAAGGAAGAAGGCUUUCGGGUUGUAAACUUCUUUUGUCAGGGACGAACAAAUGACGGUACCUGACGAAUAAGCCACGGCUAACUACGUG
This 459-nucleotide ribosomal RNA is filed under the name uncultured bacterium. Its description in RNAcentral is "bacterial SSU rRNA". It matches the Rfam family "Bacterial small subunit ribosomal RNA", at positions 32 to 507 of the family's 1533-position model. The record is from RNAcentral.